UUUAAUUUAGUAUAAAGUAUUACACCUUAUUUACACUAAGGUAAUGUUUUUUGACAGUUAAAA
Molecule: transfer RNA, 63 nt
Filed under: Calanus finmarchicus
Lineage: Eukaryota; Metazoa; Arthropoda; Copepoda; Calanoida; Calanidae
Description: tRNA-Val
Source: RNAcentral